This 72-nucleotide transfer RNA is filed under the name Camelus bactrianus (Bactrian camel). It matches the Rfam family "tRNA". From Rfam's summary of the family: Transfer RNA (tRNA) molecules are approximately 80 nucleotides in length. Their secondary structure includes four short double-helical elements and three loops (D, anti-codon, and T loops). Lineage: Eukaryota; Metazoa; Chordata; Mammalia; Artiodactyla; Camelidae. RNAcentral also lists the same sequence under 2 other names. The record is from Rfam by way of RNAcentral.
GAAGGUAUAGCUCAGUGGUAGAGUGUGUGCUUAGCAUGCAUGAGGACUUGGGUUCAAUCCCUAGUACCUCCA